Molecule: ribosomal RNA, 1235 nt
Filed under: metagenome
Description: bacterial LSU rRNA
Rfam family: Bacterial large subunit ribosomal RNA
Source: RNAcentral
UGAGUACGAGAUGCUACGGCAUCGAAGCAGUCUAUGUCAUACUUCCAAGAAAAGCUUGCACUGUCAUAAACAAAGAAUGCCUGUACCAUAACCGACACAGGUGGGUAGGUAGAGUAUACUAAGGGGCGCGAGAUAACUCUCUCCAAGGAACUCGGCAAAAUGACUCCGUAACUUCGGGAGAAGGAGUGCCUUAUUUCUAAGGUUGCAAUAACAAGAUCCAAGCAACUGUUUACCAAAAACACAGGUCUCCGCUAAGUCGUAAGACGAUGUAUGGGGGCUGACGCCUGCCCAGUGCCAGAAGGUUAAAGAAGUUGGUUAGCAUUAGCGAAGCUGAUAACUGAAGCCCUGGUGAACGGCGGCCGUAACAAUAACGGUCCUAAGGUAGCGAAAUUCCUUGUCGGGUAAGUUCCGACCCGCACGGAAGGCGUAAUGAUUUGGAUACUGUCUCGGAGAGGGGCUCGGUGAAAUAGACUUGUCUGUGAAGAUGCGGACUACCUGCACCUGGACAGAAAGACCCUAUGAAGCUUUACUGUAACUUGAGAUUGAAAUUGGACUUUAUUUGCGCAGUAUAGGUGGGAGGCGUUGAGAAUAAUCUUGCGGGAUUGUUGGAGCCAUCAGUGAGAUACCACUCUUGUAAUGUUAGAUUUCUAACUUUGUAUCAUUAUCUGGUCAAAGAACAGUUUCAGGCGGGCAGUUUGACUGGGGCGGUCGCCUCCCAAAGGGUAACGGAGGCGCACAAAGGUUUCCUCUGAACGGGUAGAAAUCGUAUCUAGAGUGUAAAGGCAUAAGGAAGCUUGACUGUGAGACCUACAAGUCGAGCAGGGACGAAAGUCGGUCUUAGUGAUCUGACGGUGCUGAGUGGAAAGGCCGUCACUCAACGGAUAAAAGUUACUCUAAGGAUAACAGGCUGAUCUCCCCCAAGAGUUCACAUCGACGGGGAGGUUUGGCACCUCGAUGUCGGCUCAUCGCAUCCUGGGGCGGUAGUCCGUCCCAAGGGUUGGGCUGUUCGCCCAUGAAAGCGGUACGCGAGCUGGGUUCAGAACGUCGUGAGACAGUUCGGUCCAUAUCCGGUGUAGGCGUUAGAAUAUUGAGAGGAGCCUUCUCUAGUACGAGAGGACCGAGAAGGACAUACCUCUGGUGUACCAGUUAUCGUGCCAACGGUAAACGCUGGGUAGCUAUGUAUGGAGUGGAUAACCGCUGAAAGCAUCUAAGUGGGAAGCCCACCUCAAGAUAAG